GUCCCCGUGGCGGAACUGGCAUACGCGUAGCGCUUAGAACGCUAUCCCUUUUUAGGGUUGUGGGUUCAAAUCCCGCCGGGGACA
This 84-nucleotide transfer RNA is filed under the name Candidatus Portnoybacteria bacterium RBG_13_40_8. RNAcentral's name for it is "tRNA-Leu". It matches the Rfam family "tRNA". From Rfam's summary of the family: Transfer RNA (tRNA) molecules are approximately 80 nucleotides in length. Their secondary structure includes four short double-helical elements and three loops (D, anti-codon, and T loops). The record is from RNAcentral. RNAcentral also lists the same sequence under 4 other names. Lineage: Bacteria; Candidatus Portnoyibacteriota.